GAAAUGCGAUAAGUAAUGUGAAUUGCAGAAUACUGUGAGUCAUCAAAUCCUUGAACGCAAAUUGCGCCUAUUGGCUCUCCAAUAGGCACGCCUGUUUGAGUGUCGUUUCCAUAAUCAAAAGAAAUUACCUGCUUGGUAAUUAUUUUGGAUGUUGAGUAUUCAAUUUGAGAAAAAAGAAUUGAUUACUUGAAAUGGAAAAGCGAGAUGGGAAUGUAUGUGGAUGGAACUUCUUGUGUGUUGGAAAACUUCACAACGGUUCUGAAAUCCUCCGUCACAUUACCAUCUGCCAGCAAAAAUAAGGAAACUAUUUUCUCUAAAUCGACCUCAAAUCAGGUGAGAUUACCCGCUGAACUUAA
This 356-nucleotide unclassified non-coding RNA is filed under the name uncultured Acaulospora. RNAcentral describes it as "sequence contains ITS1". The stretch from base 1 to 105 matches the Rfam family "5.8S ribosomal RNA", at positions 50 to 154 of the family's 154-position model. Lineage: Eukaryota; Fungi; Glomeromycota; Glomeromycetes; Diversisporales; Acaulosporaceae. The record is from RNAcentral.